CCUACGGGAGGCAGCAGUGGGGAAUAUUGCGCAAUGGGGGAAACCCUGACGCAGCGACGCCGCGUGAGCGAAGAAGGCCUUAGGGUCGUAAAGCUCUGUUUUAAGGGACGAAAAUUCGCAGGAGUAACUGCCUGUGAAGUGACGGUACCUUAAGAGAAAGCCCCGGCUAACUACGUGCCAGCAGCCGCGGUAAU
Molecule: ribosomal RNA, 194 nt
Filed under: uncultured bacterium
Lineage: Bacteria
Description: partial 16S ribosomal RNA
Rfam family: Bacterial small subunit ribosomal RNA
Source: RNAcentral